This 21-nucleotide non-coding RNA is filed under the name Caenorhabditis elegans. Lineage: Eukaryota; Metazoa; Nematoda; Chromadorea; Rhabditida; Rhabditidae. The record is from RNAcentral.
UAACAUCUUGAAGCAGGUCCU